AAUGGGGGAAACCCUGAUCCAGCCAUGCCGCGUGAGUGAAGAAGGCCUUCGGGUUGUAAAGCUCUUUCGGCCGGGACGAAAUCGCACGCGUGAAUAUCGCGUGUGGAUGACGGUACCGGCAGAAGAAGGACCGGCUAACUACGUGCCAGCAGCCGCGGUAAUACGUAGGGUCCGAGCGUUAAUCGGAAUUACUGGGCGUAAAGCGUGCGCAGGCGGUUUUGUAAGCCAGAUGUGAAAUCCCCGGGCUCAACCUGGGAACUGCAUUUGGGACUGCAAGGCUUGAGUACGGCAGAGGGGGGUAGAAUUCCUGGUGUAGCAGUGAAAUGCGUAGAUAUCAGGAGGAAUACCGAUGGCGAAGGCAGCCCCCUGGGUCGAUACUGACGCUCAUGCACGAAAGCGUGGGGAGCAAA
RNAcentral lists this ribosomal RNA (410 nucleotides) under uncultured bacterium. RNAcentral describes it as "bacterial SSU rRNA". It matches the Rfam family "Bacterial small subunit ribosomal RNA", at positions 370 to 772 of the family's 1533-position model. The record is from RNAcentral.